GACGAACGCUGGCGGCGUGCUUAACACAUGCAAGUCGAACGAAGAGCGACGGAAGCUUGCUUCUAUCAAUCUUAGUGGCGAACGGGUGAGUAACGCGUAAUCAACCUGCCCUUCAGAGGGGGACAACAGUUGGAAACGACUGCUAAUACCGCAUACGAUCUAAUCUCGGCAUCGAGGAUGGAUGAAAGGUGGCCUCUACAUGUAAGCUAUCACUGAAGGAGGGGAUUGCGUCUGAUUAGCUAGUUGGAGGGGUAACGCCCCACCAAGGCGAUGAUCAGUAGCCGGUCUGAGAGGAUGAACGGCCACAUUGGGACUGAGACACGGCCCAGACUCCUACGGGAGGCAGCAGUGGGGAAUCUUCCGCAAUGGACGAAAGUCUGACGGAGCAACGCCGCGUGAGUGAUGACGGCCUUCGGGUUGUAAAGCUCUGUUAAUCGGGACGAAAGGCCUUCUUGCGAAUAGUGAGAAGGAUUGACGGUACCGGAAUAGAAAGCCACGGCUAACUACGUG
This 510-nucleotide ribosomal RNA is filed under the name uncultured bacterium. RNAcentral's name for it is "partial 16S ribosomal RNA". It matches the Rfam family "Bacterial small subunit ribosomal RNA", at positions 28 to 507 of the family's 1533-position model. The record is from RNAcentral.